Molecule: long non-coding RNA, 887 nt
Filed under: Phoenix dactylifera (date palm)
Lineage: Eukaryota; Viridiplantae; Streptophyta; Magnoliopsida; Arecales; Arecaceae
Description: long non-coding RNA (PDAC_LNC017313)
Source: RNAcentral
AGUUCAAGCCAAAUCAACAAUCAUGACCCACUUCAAACCCAAAGUAACUCCCAACCAAUUCUUUACCUGCCUUCAUAUAAAAUUUAUAAAUUUAAAAAACAAAAAAAAAGAAAAUAAUAAAUAUAAUAAAAUAAAUAAAAAUAAUUUCGGGGAAUUCACUGUUCAUAUGAACAGUGUCCCGUGAAAACACUGUUCAUAUGAACAGUGUUACAAAAAAAAAAUAAUAAUGUAAACAAGAAGCCACUGUUCAUCUUCUCCCCCGCAGUGCAUCCGGGCCGUUCCCCUUCUUCCCAUCGAUUCCGCCUCGUCCUCCGCCUGUGACGCAGCCCGCAGCCGAGACCCAGCUCCGCCAUCAAGCCGCGUCGAGGCAUCUCCCCGUUGAUCCCGCGGCCACCCACCAUUCGGAGCGAUCCUCCCAGCAGCCGGAAGUCACCCAUCCGUGAUCAAGGCAACGCAGCCAUCUUCCUUCCUGCCUCUGCAACCACGGAUCCAUGUUCUCCACUCUUCCGGAUCUCCAGCUCCUUUCAACGUCCCCGUGAUCCCAGCGAUCCUGCUUCCAAGUUUAAGCACCAGUCCAAGUUCCCAGCGUCCGUCUGCAGUGGUCCUCCAGCACCAUUUCUUCCGCCGGUGAUGCAUCCCACGCUUCAAGCCUCCGCGUCUGCAAGCACUGUGACCCAAGGACCCAGCACCUCUUCCGUGAUUUCCUCCCGUCGAUCAAGCUCCCAUUUCUUCCGCCCGUUUCAAAUGCAGCUGGUGAUCCCACGGAUUGACGCCCUCCUUCCGUUUCCAAAUCCCAGCCCCCAAGCAAUCGGAUCCCCAGCAAUCACGCAUCCUCUCCCUCUCGAUGCUUCAACGAUUGAUCUAUAAAAGGGAGAGAGGGAAGAAAC